This is a non-coding RNA of Xyrichtys novacula (pearly razorfish), 64 nucleotides long. Lineage: Eukaryota; Metazoa; Chordata; Actinopteri; Labriformes; Labridae. The record is from the annotation of a GenBank genome assembly.
AGGUUAAUGCUAAUCGUGAUAGGGGUUGUACCAUACAAGACGCCUAACAUGUUAGCAUUAGCUU